Molecule: non-coding RNA, 121 nt
Filed under: Cylindrotheca closterium
Lineage: Eukaryota; Bacillariophyta; Bacillariophyceae; Bacillariales; Bacillariaceae
Source: RNAcentral
AUAAAAUAUCUUUCUCCAACAAUGGAUUCUAACACUACCACCACAACAACAAUCAAGGCUGAACCCAGCCCCAUUGCUCCCACUGCCGAGCCGGUUGUCGAAACCGCAACCGAAGCACCAG